Sinocyclocheilus rhinocerous is the source of this 248-nucleotide long non-coding RNA. RefSeq lists it as uncharacterized. The record is from RefSeq and is a predicted model, not a curated record. The transcript is spliced from 3 exons. NCBI's taxonomy places the organism in Eukaryota, Metazoa, Chordata, Actinopteri, Cypriniformes, Cyprinidae.
UGUUCAGUUCAUCAUCUCCAGCCCUCACGAUGAUCCAGAGCCGAUAAAAGAGCAUCUUCUUGCCAUUCUGAGAGAAAACGGCUGCUUUGUUAUUGGAUUUUACAAGACUAAUCAAGAACAAUCAUCCAAACUUCAGGAAAAAAGGGAGGUGAGAAUCGGACACUCGCUGAAUAAGAAGGAGGAAGAGUUCGUAGUCAAAAGGGGAGAAACAGUUUUUCAAAGUCUGCAGAAACUCAACAUAGCCUGCA